RNAcentral lists this small RNA (467 nucleotides) under Arabidopsis thaliana (thale cress). Its description in RNAcentral is "putative long intergenic non-coding RNA". The record is from RNAcentral. Lineage: Eukaryota; Viridiplantae; Streptophyta; Magnoliopsida; Brassicales; Brassicaceae.
GCCUUUGUGUUAUAGUUCAACAUAUAACCACUAAACCUUUUUCAACUAAAGAAUGUGGAGAUUCAUUUUGGUGAUGUGUCUUCUAGCUCUGGUCGAAAGGGGAACCUCGGGGAAAUUGCCGAUAUGGGAAAAGGAGUUAGGAAGAUUGCAGGGUUUACAUAACCAGCUUCAGCGAGGUCCGGUUCCUCCAUCAGAACCGUCACUAUGCCACAAUAGACUAAACCAUCUUUCUCAUCCAGAGGUUUACUCUUCCCAAACUUACGUUCUUUGCCCAUGAUCAUGCUUAUUCCGUCGUUGACAAUGAUCAAAUCUCAUUUGUUAUUUUCUUUAUCUCUGCUCAAACAUAAUUCAUAGUUGUAUCUGUGACAUUUUGAUCCGACUACUCCACCAUCUUGAGUCAUACUAUACGAGAUAUCUAAUCAAUUUUGACUUUUGAUCCGACUACUCAAACCUUGUCUAUAAUAACG